AGCAGCUGCAGGGGGCUGCAGCGCCCGCCCAGCCUGCACCUUGUCGGGGUGCAGCCCAGGGCUUGAGGGGACCUCACCCAGCGCUCUGGUGGCUGCCAGUCCCUGUGUGCUCGGCUCCUCGAUGUCCUCGCAGAGGUCGGGCAGCUGCGAGAGGAAGUGCUUGAGGACAGAACUGCUGGGGACAGCGGCGAAGGCGUCCUGGGGCUCCACGGCAUCCAGGCAGCUGAGCAGCUCCUCCAAGCCGGAGCUGUCCAGGUCCGCCGGGAGCUGGUCCUGCACGUGCUGCAGCUGCUGGCUGUCCCCUGCCAGCUGGGGAAAGGCCUCGGCGAAGGCAUCGGGGCCCAGCUCCAGCAGCUCCAGGGGCUCCUCAGGCACCUCUGCAAGUGUCGCCGCUGAGGAAAAAGCAAGCCAAUGCAAUCCCCCAGGCAUCCCCCGAUGCCAGCUUUGCCAUGGCUCCUGGGUGUGGGGCGCUCAGCGGCCGGCUGGGCCAGCCCCAAACUCACCGUCGGGCGACGCCGUUUGGGUGCUGGCGGUCCUUGGAGCCUGGGCAGGCUCAGGGGGAGUGGGGCCGGGCAGCGGGGGCCCCUGGUCCUCACUGAGCCCCACGGCGUGCAAGCAGGGCUCCGGCAGCUGCCCCCGGCUGCUGCUCAGGGUGCGGGGCGCGGGGAGCACCUGCCCCCGCAGUGGAGGCCCCGGCACAAGGAGUGGGGGGGGGGGCUGGGGUGGGCAGGAGCCUGCAGCAGGCAGGUGCCUGCAGAGUGCAGGAGCUCCCCUUGGAGCACAGCCCUGGGCCCCAAGCAGAGGGGAUCCUGGGGCACCAGCGUCUCCGUCAGCAGGGGCUGUCCACACUGAGAGACACUGGGGGCACAGGGAGGAGCGGUGUGGGGGAGCUGCCCCACAGCAGGGAGCUGUCCCACGGCGGAGAGCUGCCCAAGCUGCAGGUGGUGGCCCUCAGCUGGGAGGUGCCCCCCAGGUGGCAGCUGCACCCCAGUGGGGGGGCUGCAGCACCUGCCCCUGGAGCCCCGGCACCACGUGCCAGGCGGUGGCCUGGGGCAGCGCGGAGGGGAGGGUGGGUACCUGCAGGGGCUGCAAGGGCACCGCCGUCGCUCCGGGGAGGGAGGGCAGCAGCCAGGCAGCCACCGUUGGCGGCACGGCUGCGACGACGAAGGGGGAGUUUUGCCUCUGCGCAACCCGCGGAAGCCAUCUGGGGAAACCCUCUGUGGGAAAAAGGGCGCUGGGCUGAGCUCUGGGGCGCUGGGCUCGCCAGCAGGGCCACAGCCCCGGGAGGAGCGGGAGCCGGCUGCUGGACCUGCCAUGGUGGCUGGAGAGUGGGGCGGUUGCUUGGGGAACCCGCGCAAUGGGGGUUCCAUCCCAACGGCUGACCAGCCCCUCGCCGACAUCUUGGGGAGGACUGCAGGCUUCGGACCCAAGCAGGCUGCCCAGCGCAAGACUUGGCCAUCCCCAGCAGGCUUGCCCUCCCAUGCAGCACUUGCCAUGUCCAUGAUGCUUCCA
This 1512-nucleotide long non-coding RNA is filed under the name Anas platyrhynchos platyrhynchos (common mallard). RNAcentral describes it as "lncRNA (ENSAPLG00000027721.1)". Lineage: Eukaryota; Metazoa; Chordata; Aves; Anseriformes; Anatidae. The record is from RNAcentral.